This 253-nucleotide ribosomal RNA is filed under the name uncultured bacterium. Its description in RNAcentral is "partial 16S ribosomal RNA". It matches the Rfam family "Bacterial small subunit ribosomal RNA", at positions 524 to 776 of the family's 1533-position model. The record is from RNAcentral.
UACAGAGGGUGCGAGCGUUGUCCGGAAUCACUGGGCGUAAAGGGCGCGUAGGUGGCGGCCCAAGUCCAUGGUGAAAGCUCGUCGCUCAACGACGAGUCGGCCACGGAUACUGGGUUGCUCGAGCACUGUAGAGGCAGAUGGAAUUCCGGGUGUAGCGGUGGAAUGCGUAGAGAUCCGGAAGAACACCAGGGGCGAAGGCGGCCUGCUGGGCAGUUGCUGACACUGAAUCGCGACAGCGUGGGGAGCAAACAGG